UAUUCUUACUAACUACAUUAUGCUGGUUUUGGAGAAUUGUAGAGGACCUCUGAGGAAUCUUCCUGAGGAAUGCUCUUUGCAAAGCUCUGCUCCAGAGAUGAUGGCGAACAGCACUGAACAAAACAAAAACCUCAGCCACCAUGAAGCUCAGCGACAGACAAUAAACACAUACACAGAAAAUGGCCAAAAUUCAGACUUCCUGUCUUCUGUAGAAUAAACAUCUAAUAGCUCUUUUGACGGCAGUCUUCAUUCACCUUGCAAUGGA
This 265-nucleotide long non-coding RNA is filed under the name Homo sapiens (human). RNAcentral describes it as "HSALNT0198512". The record is from RNAcentral. Lineage: Eukaryota; Metazoa; Chordata; Mammalia; Primates; Hominidae.